GACGAACGCUGGCGGCGUGCCUAAUACAUGCAAGUAGAACGCUGAAGAGAGGAGCUUGCUCUUCUUGGAUGAGUUGCGAACGGGUGAGUAACGCGUAGGUAACCUGCCUUGUAGCGGGGGAUAACUAUUGGAAACGAUAGCUAAUACCGCAUAACAAUGGAUGACACAUGUCAUUUAUUUGAAAGGGGCAAUUGCUCCACUACAAGAUGGACCUGCGUUGUAUUAGCUAGUAGGUGAGGUAAUGGCUCACCUAGGCGACGAUACAUAGCCGACCUGAGAGGGUGAUCGGCCACACUGGGACUGAGACACGGCCCAGACUCCUACGGGAGGCAGCAGUAGGGAAUCUUCGGCAAUGGGGGCAACCCUGACCGAGCAACGCCGCGUGAGUGAAGAAGGUUGUCGGAUCGUAAAGCUCUGUUGUAAGUCAAGAACGGGUGUGAGAGUGGAAAGUUCACACUGUGACGGUAGCUUACCAGAAAGAGACGGCUAACUACGUG
RNAcentral lists this ribosomal RNA (497 nucleotides) under uncultured bacterium. RNAcentral describes it as "partial 16S ribosomal RNA". It matches the Rfam family "Bacterial small subunit ribosomal RNA", at positions 28 to 507 of the family's 1533-position model. The record is from RNAcentral.